UGCACGCGAGAAUCCGAGAGGCAGCGCCCUUGCGCAAAAAAACUGCCCGCCACUCGCCAGCCGUCCGGCAUCGCAGUGUUUGUCGCCAGUGCAGGGACAUCUCUCCCUUCUCCCCCCGAGCGCACACUGAAUUUUGCGAGCAGAGUCGCAAUGUCCCUCCGGAACUCCUGGCCAUUCAUAUUCAUCUCAACGUUCCUUCUGGUGUGUGGCACAGUGUCAAGUCUACCCUACGUCCAUGGAGGGCAGCAGCAGCAGCAAGGCUGCUGUAAGCUGCUGCCCCCGUUGCUGCCCCCGCUGCUGCCCCGUACCGUGCAGGCUCUGUGCCGGGAGCUCUCCUUUUUGCUCUCUCCAGGGCACUGCCGGCGCUCGCCAAGGGCAGCCCGGUUCGGAAAACGCGGUCAGCCGCACUUCCCAAGAUUUGGAUGAAGAUGGGACUCCUCCGCACACUGUCCUGGGUACUCACACGGCUUAGAAAAUCAAAAUACUCGGGACCACUGCGUCACUCUUACAAUGCGUUUUUUUGGAGGGGAGAACAAAUACGUACAUGUGAGUCUAUUGAUAAUGACUUUAUUUUUAUAGUUGGUACAGUCAGUAAAGUCUGUCCAAUGGCAGUGUGAUUUUAAGACAUCUGAUAUGGCAUCUAGCACUUCAUAAGUGGACUGCUCCUGUAAAUAUUACAAAUAAAAACCUGGAAAAUAAAUUCACCAACUUGGCAUUCGUGGCCAUAUCGAGCAUGUUAGAAGAGCUGUCGCAAGUUGAUUGUUGCGUGGUGACAUAUCUGAAUAAAAUCCUUUGAACGUCCGGUUGACGUGUUAAGAACAAUUACAACAAAAUUAACUUGUUUUUUUUCUUUCUUUCUUACGUAGAUAUAUUUUCAUUUGAAAAUGUGUCGGGCAUGGCUGACUGCAAACGUCUUAAUAAAGCAUUGCAAGUGCAACACAAGUUUGAAAUUGGAAACCUCAAGCUUCGACUGUCCCAAGAAGGGUAUUAUUGCAGCUUUCAUCAGGGGAAUGAACAAUAUAUAAAGUAACAAUAAAUAAUGUGUUUGUAUAGUGGCCCCUGUUUAAAAAAAAAUUGUCUUAUUAAAGAAUAUACUUGGCUUGAGAAUGAAAUUGCCUCUGAUGAUGCCAAUGGUGAUGCCAAUGACGUUGAUGAUUAUCUCCGCCGCCUGCGUUUUGGGAUUACCUUCACUUGCGAGUUUAUCCAAGAUCAAUGUGAUUGGCCAUCGAUGCCUUAAUAGGCAAACAAACGGAGCACAUUUGUCAACAGCACUGCCUUUAAAGAAGACGCAAAUAAUAAAAUGUCUCGAUAAAUACAUGUGUACCAUCUCAAAAGGCAGUGACCAGGUCGAGUGGAGGAGGCAUCCGAGAAUGGUGACCUGAUUAAGGAUGUCCCGCUGCCUGCCGUGUGGAGCAGCCACAGCUGAUGUUAGGAUGAGGAAAUCUCUUGACAGUGCCAAUGCCCUCUCCUCGUUGCGCUCGCAAUGCUCCUCGCAACCAAUCGGCGCUUGUUUGUAAACACACGUGUACAUGUGGUUUAAACAAAAAAAAACAACCCUACCACAAGCCCAUGCGUUCAUUGCCAUUUUAAGGAUCGAGAGUUGAUGAUGUGUUGUCUCUCUCUCUGUUGACCAAGCAGGCAUAGGCAGAGUUUGACUUCUAUAGUUGGGGGGGGGGGGGCACCGCCCGUGCCCCCCCCUCCCCUCCAAACUCCGCCCUAGCAAACAGACAGACCGCAUCGCGACGUGAUGCUGCACUCCCGCUACUUUUCAUUUUACUGCAAUGUUCAGACUUUGCCCAGGCAACGUCCACCAUAAAAGCUCAAGAAACGUUUUGUUAAAAAAAAAAAAAUCUGUUUUUUAUUCGUGUCACGGAGCGUAAAGCGGGGUUAUUCCACGCCAAACCAAUCAAAAACGAGGGUUAAAUUGACCUCGUCUUCAUAGAUGUAUUUUUGUGAUACUUGAGUCUGAGUUUUGUGUGUUGGUGGCAGGGUUACCACCCAAACGUGAGGGCAAUCUGACCUCCUUGUUCCCCAGAUACAGGCCAUCAUCAAUGUUUCACCUGUGCAACUUCGCUCGAUGGCCUCGUAGGCAUUGUAAACCUACCUGGCGGUUCACAUAGUCUGGUGUCAUUUUUGCAUGAAGCUGUGUGAGGAACGAGGAUCAUAACUCCCAAAGUAAUGGAGUGUCACAUUUUAAAACUUAAGAGAGAUUAUUGCCAUGUGGUAUACGCUAUGUUUGCAUUUUGAAGAAAAUCUGAGAUAGUCUUUUGAGCACAUUUUUGCCUACCAUUCUCUUUGUUGUUGAUAGAAUGAGAAUGAUGCAUAUAUGAUGAACUUCUUUCGCACAGUACGUAGCCAACCGCGAUAAUCGGAGGUGCGAUAAUGCUAAACAUAGCGACGGAUCAACAGCUUUAAAAGGACACCAGACUCACUUGACUUAAUCAACCAUGAGGGAAGAUACAAUCCAUGCAAGGUCACCAAGUUGCUUUUGUGAGGUCAAGUUUCCGUGACCUAUAUCUGGGGAACGGCAGUUCGGAUUGACCUAACGUAUGGGUCGUAGCCUUCUUUGCCAGAUCCAAAGCUGCCCACUAUAUUAAACCAAAAUUGGGGUUUUGGUCAAAUAUAUAUUCUUGAUUAAUUUUGCACGGAAUAACCCAACAGAGAGAAGACAAAGCUCACGAUAGCGGGAAGGAUACUGUGCAUCUCAAAAAUGUAAACAAUUCAGAAAUGUAAUCGUAUGCUGAUAUGACCUUUAAAGUUAUUAAAACGGCGAGAAUAAAUACGGUUAACUUCUGAAACGAAUAAAGGCAAAGCAUCCGUUGUCAUGUACGGGGACCGUAUGAGUCCACAAUAUUUGUGCUGCGAUGGCCCAAAAAUCCAUGCCCAGGGGCAUGGGUUUGAAUCCACAGUUUGCUGUCCAGCAAAUUGAUGUGAACUGGUGAUGGGGCAAUCACAAGGGAUGUUACGGAACGAAAAUAAAAAAAACCCGCAUGUGAUUGUGAAAAUUGUGAUUAAUUUGCUUGCUUUCAGAUUAUACGUUAUUAAAAGGCAUGUGACAAUUCGUGCAUUUGUAGAUUAAACGUUGAUUAUUACGCUUA
Molecule: non-coding RNA, 3098 nt
Organism: Petromyzon marinus (sea lamprey)
Lineage: Eukaryota; Metazoa; Chordata; Hyperoartia; Petromyzontiformes; Petromyzontidae
Source: RefSeq, a predicted model, not a curated record